This 497-nucleotide ribosomal RNA is filed under the name uncultured bacterium. RNAcentral's name for it is "partial 16S ribosomal RNA". It matches the Rfam family "Bacterial small subunit ribosomal RNA", at positions 28 to 507 of the family's 1533-position model. The record is from RNAcentral.
GACGAACGCUGGCGGCGUGCCUAAUACAUGCAAGUCGAGCGAACAGACGAGGAGCUUGCUCCUCUGACGUUAGCGGCGGACGGGUGAGUAACACGUGGAUAACCUAUCUAUAUUAUUGGGAUAACUUCGGGAAACCGGAGCUAAUACCGGAUAAUAUAUUGAACCGUAUGGUUCAUUAGUGAAAUACGGUUUUGCUGUUACUUAUAGAUGGAUCCGCGCCGCAUUAGCUAGUUGGUAAUGUAACGGCUUACCAUGGUAACGAUGCGUAGCCGCCCUGAGGGGGGGGUCGGCCACACUGGAACCUAAACGCGGUCCAGCCUCCUACGGGAGGCAGCAGUACGGUAUCUUCCGCAAUAGGCGGAAGCCUGGCGGAGCAUCGCCGAGUGAGUGAUGACGGUCUUCGGAUCGUAAUACUCUGUUAUUGGGUGCGAACAGAUGUGUAAGAAACUAUGCACGUCUUGACGGUACCGAAUCAGAAAGCCACGGCUAACUACGUG